UCCCGUGUAGCUCAGUUUGUAGAGCACAGUGUUUGCAACACCAGGGUUGUGGGUUUGAUUCCCACAGGGGAC
Salmo salar (Atlantic salmon) is the source of this 72-nucleotide non-coding RNA. The record is from Rfam. Lineage: Eukaryota; Metazoa; Chordata; Actinopteri; Salmoniformes; Salmonidae.